RNAcentral lists this long non-coding RNA (1252 nucleotides) under Mus pahari (shrew mouse). Its description in RNAcentral is "predicted gene 42682 (MGP_PahariEiJ_G0005771.1)". The record is from RNAcentral. Lineage: Eukaryota; Metazoa; Chordata; Mammalia; Rodentia; Muridae.
GAGUAGUGGGCGGUGAUCUUUGUUCUUUGGAAAGAAGCGUUAGGGAACCUGUGGCUUCUAGGACGUUAAGAACAUGGGAACCUGAAAGGCAAGGAGAACAAGAAGCCCAGACUGCUCCUAAGGCAGUGCUUCCUAAGGCAGUGGCUCUCAGUCUUCCUGAUGCUGCGUCCCUUUAAUACAGCUCCUCAUGGUGUGGUGACCCCAACCAUAAAAUUAUUUUAUUGCUACUUUAUGACUUUAAUUUUGCUAUCUUUAUGAACUGUAAUGUAAAUUUCUGUGUUUUCCCAUGGUCUUCUGCAAUCCCCGUGAAAGGGGUUGAGUCUCGAUUCACAGGUUGAGAACCCCUGUCCUAAGGGCUGGGACAAGCCUGCGAAGCUGGUAACGGGAGGUCCCAGAACCGCCGUUCUAAGACACUUCAGCCAUGUAAAUAAGAAGGAAACUUAGCCUCUACAACCCUGAGGACCUCAUGUGGCCAGUAGCUCUCAGUAGGCUGAUGAAACCCCUUCCUCUUCCUCAGUCCUGAUGGGACUCCAGUCUCUGGAGCCCUGCUGUAAAAAUCCUGAGAGUGUCAAGACACCUAAGGUGGACUCAGCUCCCGCCACGAUCAGAAGUAUCCGUGCUGCCUGCUCAGAGGAGGCCAGGGAGGCUGGAAGUGGCCCUAACAACAGCACCCACGACCCGGUCGCCCAAGUUCUCAGAAAUUAGAAAGCACUGCGUGCUAAACCACGUUGAUUGCUCCAUAAACCGACUCUCUUAAUGCAUAAACAGCAGUGUGAACUGAGCACUGAUGGCUACCGAUCUUGAAGGGACCCACUCGCGUGGACAGUUAAUGUCAUGUUGAGGAGACGCGAGAAAAGCACUCCCAGACAAUGAGUGGUUCUUGACAUACACGCAACUUGCCAAGUCCUUGCAAUGUUUCUUUCUGACAGCAGGGGGAGCCAACACCUGGUAAACGCCCGGGCACACUAAACCUUGCCGGUGCAGAAGAAACGGACAAAGAAACAACCAGGAAAUGAUACCUUGGAAAGAACUGCAACCCAAACAGGCUGGAGAUGGAGGCAGCUCAGGCCCAGGUUUUGUAGAUGUUACGGCCCAGAUUAUUGAUCCCCGAGUAAAGCAAAUGUCAGCUGGGAAAGUCCAGGCUGGCCUUUAGGGUGACCGUGGCUCUGUACCCCAGACAAGCACAGUCUAUUUCCUCUUUCUUUCAGUUGUAACUGAGCUCACUCAGGUCAGGGCUAAGCCAAGCUCAGAA